UAGACAAAUUUUUGUAUUCGACUGUAUUCACGGUGUGAAACAGGGGAUUACAACUGUCUUUAAACGGAAAGUGAAUCAAUUAACAUAAUAGACACCU
RNAcentral lists this microRNA precursor (97 nucleotides) under Nicotiana sylvestris (wood tobacco). RNAcentral's name for it is "MIR6152 microRNA precursor family". It matches the Rfam family "MIR6152 microRNA precursor family". The record is from Rfam by way of RNAcentral. RNAcentral also lists the same sequence under 1 other name. Lineage: Eukaryota; Viridiplantae; Streptophyta; Magnoliopsida; Solanales; Solanaceae.